AUAAUGGGUCAGCGACUUAUAUUCUGUAGCAAGGUUAACCGAAUAGGGGAGCCGAAGGGAAACCGAGUCUUAACUGGGCGUUAAGUUGCAGGGUAUAGACCCGAAACCCGGUGAUCUAGCCAUGGGCAGGUUGAAGGUUGGGUAACACUAACUGGAGGACCGAACCGACUAAUGUUGAAAAAUUAGCGGAUGACUUGUGGCUGGGGGUGAAAGGCCAAUCAAACCGGGAGAUAGCUGGUUCUCCCCGAAAGCUAUUUAGGUAGCGCCUCGUGAAUUCAUCUCCGGGGGUAGAGCACUGUUUCGGCAAGGGGGUCAUCCCGACUUACCAACCCGAUGCAAACUGCGAAUACCGGAGAAUGUUAUCACGGGAGACACACGGCGGGUGCUAACGUCCGUCGUGAAGAGGGAAACAACCCAGACCGCCAGCUAAGGUCCCAAAGUCAUGGUUAAGUGGGAAACGAUGUGGGAAGGCCCAGACAGCCAGGAUGUUGGCUUAGAAGCAGCCAUCAUUUAAAGAAAGCGUAAUAGCUCACUGGUCGAGUCGGCCUGCGCGGAAGAUGUAACGGGGCUAAACCAUGCACCGAAGCUGCGGCAGCGACGCUUAUGCGUUGUUGGGUAGGGGAGCGUUCUGUAAGCCUGUGAAGGUGUACUGUGAGGUAUGCUGGAGGUAUCAGAAGUGCGAAUGCUGACAUAAGUAACGAUAAAGCGGGUGAAAAGCCCGCUCGCCGGAAGACCAAGGGUUCCUGUCCAACGUUAAUCGGGGCAGGGUGAGUCGACCCCUAAGGCGAGGCCGAAAGGCGUAGUCGAUGGGAAACAGGUUAAUAUUCCUGUACUUGGUGUUACUGCGAAGGGGGGACGGAGAAGGCUAUGUUGGCCGGGCGACGGUUGUCCCGGUUUAAGCGUGUAGGCUGGUUUUCCAGGCAAAUCCGGAAAAUCAAGGCUGAGGCGUGAUGACGAGGCACUACGGUGCUGAAGCAACAAAUGCCCUGCUUCCAGGAAAAGCCUCUAAGCAUCAGGUAACAUCAAAUCGUACCCCAAACCGACACAGGUGGUCAGGUAGAGAAUACCAAGGCGCUUGAG
Molecule: ribosomal RNA, 1080 nt
Filed under: Escherichia coli
Lineage: Bacteria; Pseudomonadati; Pseudomonadota; Gammaproteobacteria; Enterobacterales; Enterobacteriaceae
Description: partial 23S ribosomal RNA
Rfam family: Bacterial large subunit ribosomal RNA
Source: RNAcentral